RNAcentral lists this ribosomal RNA (255 nucleotides) under uncultured bacterium. Its description in RNAcentral is "partial 16S ribosomal RNA". It matches the Rfam family "Bacterial small subunit ribosomal RNA", at positions 524 to 776 of the family's 1533-position model. The record is from RNAcentral.
UACAGAGGCCCCAAGCGUUACUGAGAAUCACUGGGUUUAAAGGGUGCGUAGGUGGUCCGUUAAGUUCGUUGUGAAAGCCCUGGGCUCAACCCAGGAACUGCUUCGAAUACUGGCGGACUUGAGGCUAGUAGAGGUCACUGGAACUGACGGUGGAGCGGUGAAAUGCGUAGAUAUCGUCAGGAACGCCAAUGGUGAAGACAGGUGACUGGGCUAGAUCUGACACUGAGGCGCGACGAGCGUGGGGGAGCAAACAGG